CAGUCGCCACGGUAAUACGGAGGGAGCUAGCGUUGUUCGGAAUUACUGGGCGUAAAGCGCGCGUAGGCGGACUUUUAAGUCAGGGGUGAAAUCCCGGGGCUCAACCCCGGAACUGCCUUUGAUACUGGAAGUCUUGAGUAUGGUAGAGGUGAGUGGAAUUCCGAGUGUAGAGGUGAAAUUCGUAGAUAUUCGGAGGAACACCAGUGGCGAAGGCGGCUCACUGGACCAUUACUGACGCUGAGGUGCGAAAGCGUGGGGAGCAAACAGGAUUAGAUACCCGCGUAGUCCCUGUCUCUUAUAC
RNAcentral lists this ribosomal RNA (301 nucleotides) under uncultured bacterium. Its description in RNAcentral is "partial 16S ribosomal RNA". It matches the Rfam family "Bacterial small subunit ribosomal RNA", at positions 509 to 807 of the family's 1533-position model. The record is from RNAcentral.